GGGAGGAGGCUCUUGGGUCGUAAACCUCUUUUCUCAAGGAAGAAAAAAAUGACGGUACUUGAGGAAUCAGCAUCGGCUAACUCCGUGCCAGCAGCCGCGGUAAUACGGAGGAUGCAAGCGUUAUCCGGAAUGAUUGGGCGUAAAGCGUCCGCAGGUGGCUGUGUAAGUCUGCUGUUAAAGAAUGAGGCUCAACCUCAUCAAAGCAGUGGAAACUACACGGCUAGAGUGCGUUCGGGGCAGAGGGAAUUCCUGGUGUAGCGGUGAAAUGCGUAGAGAUCAGGAAGAACACCGGUGGCGAAAGCGCUCUGCUAGGCCGCAACUGACACUGAGGGACGAAAGCUAGGGGAGCGAAUGGGAU
Molecule: ribosomal RNA, 358 nt
Filed under: Gloeotrichia echinulata I4
Lineage: Bacteria; Bacillati; Cyanobacteriota; Cyanophyceae; Nostocales; Gloeotrichiaceae
Description: bacterial SSU rRNA
Rfam family: Bacterial small subunit ribosomal RNA
Source: RNAcentral